Molecule: ribosomal RNA, 253 nt
Filed under: uncultured bacterium
Lineage: Bacteria
Description: partial 16S ribosomal RNA
Rfam family: Bacterial small subunit ribosomal RNA
Source: RNAcentral
UACGGAGGGUGCAAGCGUUGUUCGGAUUUAUUGGGCGUAAAGGGCGUGUAGGCGGUUCGUUAAGUCUGAUGUGAAAGCCCCGGGCUCAACCCGGGAAGUGCAUUGGAAACUGGCGAACUUGAGUACGGGAGAGGGCAGUGGAAUUCCUAGUGUAGGAGUGAAAUCCGUAGAUAUUAGGAGGAACACCGGUGGCGAAGGUGGCUGCCUGGACCGACACUGACGCUGAGGCGCGAAAGCGUGGGGAGCAAACAGG